RNAcentral lists this unclassified non-coding RNA (221 nucleotides) under soil metagenome. Its description in RNAcentral is "partial contains small subunit ribosomal RNA, internal transcribed spacer 1, and 5.8S ribosomal RNA". The record is from RNAcentral.
UCUCCGUUGGUGAACCAGCGGAGGGAUCAUUAUCGAGUAUUACACUCCCUUACCCAUCGUGAACAUACCUUUUGUUGCUUCGGCGGUCCGUCCGGGACCGGCCCUCCGGGGCCGGAGCCAGGCGCCGCCGGAGGCCCCAAACCUCUGAAUUACAAGUUGUAUCUCUGAGUGGCGAAAGCAAAAACGAAUCAAAACUUUCAACAACGGAUCUCUUGGUUCUG